UAAAUAUGCAAACAUUUCAGAACAGUGUCCUGGAUUAUAAACUAAAUAAAAAGUUGCCUUUAAGGCUUGCUUUAACACAGGCAACUCAGAACAGAUGAGUCAGUGCUGGAAAAUUGCAGAUUAUUCUCUCAUUCAUCCCAUCCAGUGGAAAACAAGGGAUAUAAACUUUUUCCUAGUCAUCUGCUGACAUGUGAGUAACAUGGUUUGAUACCUGGACAGGCAAUCCUCAGCUUAGCUGCCUCAGUUGCUGAAGUAUCCAUUUUAAUCAGAAUUGCACAGCACCCUCUUCUGCUGAGAGGAGCUGAGCCGUGGAUCUCCCUGGGCUGGCUCUUUUCCUGUCUCUGAUGGGCAUUUAUACACUGAAGAGCAAGAUCCUCUCUCCUUGGUCCCUUUAUAAAGAGGAAUUAGAAUAAAAGAGUGGAUUUAAGAGGAAAGCACCCCUCCAGUUAAUUGAGAUUUUUCAUACAGAAUGCUGAGGAAUGAUUUGAAAGUGACAGCAAGACUGUUGCAGGUUUUUAAUCCUGAGUCCAACAUUGAUUUCAUUGUGGUAAUCUGGCCAAGAUAACCAUUCUGCCUCAUUUUCCCUACACAGAAACCUCACAAGGUGCUGAAGUGAAUUUGUGCAUCCACUCUAAGCAGCACCUGUGGUGCAGAGUAGUUAUUUCUGUGGCUCCUUGAUGUUCUUUGUGUGUAUCCUGCAAAACUGUUGGAGAGAGCUCAGUAAAUGAAUGGUUACUUGUCAUCCAGCCUUGGGAAUGGCUCCAUCAGUUCUCCGAAGUGCCAGUUUAUUACUCAUUUUACUGAGCUACGAGGCAUUAAUAAAACAUGAAGGCUGAAGCUGA
Long non-coding RNA from Haemorhous mexicanus (house finch), 842 nucleotides. RefSeq lists it as uncharacterized. The record is from RefSeq and is a predicted model, not a curated record. NCBI's taxonomy places the organism in Eukaryota, Metazoa, Chordata, Aves, Passeriformes, Fringillidae. The transcript is spliced from 2 exons.